Salarias fasciatus (jewelled blenny) is the source of this 394-nucleotide long non-coding RNA. RefSeq lists it as uncharacterized. The record is from RefSeq and is a predicted model, not a curated record. The transcript has 3 exons. NCBI's taxonomy places the organism in Eukaryota, Metazoa, Chordata, Actinopteri, Blenniiformes, Blenniidae.
CUUCAAGGGCUGUGCAAACUCCUCCCUGUGUCCAUCUACAGGCCUUCAAACCCUUUCAACCAGUUUGGGUCCAACAACUACAGUUAUAUCUGCUAACUGCUGCGACACAGAAAACUGCAACUCGGCCACUCAAGCUGCACCAACUCUUCCAGAUCCAAACGGCCGACUGUGUAACUUCUGUCUUCCUGAUACCACGGACUGCAAUGUUAUCGUCCAGUGUCGAGGAAACCAGGACAGAUGCAUCCAGGGAAAUGUGACAACAGACUCUGGCACGUCUCCACUUAGCGGCUGCUCAUCUGAAAAUGUGUGUAGUGCUGCUCAGAGCUCGGGGAUGCUGCCACUGAGGCCAGAGGUUGGCGAUUUCAGCAGAGGACCCCUAUGCUGUGAAGGAAAC